UACCAUGCCAGUUCGAGCGGUAGAGAGGUGCUUGCACCUCUUGAGAGCGGCGGGCGGGUGAGUAAUGCCUAGGAAUCUGCCUGGUAGUGGGGGAUAACGCUCUUAAACGGACGCUAAUACCGCAUACGUCCUACGGGAGAAAGCAGGGGACCUUCGGGCCUUGCGCUAUCAGAUGAGCCUAGGUCGGAUUAGCUAGUUGGUGAGGUAAUGGCUCACCAAGGCGACGAUCCGUAACUGGUCUGAGAGGAUGAUCAGUCACACUGGAACUGAGACACGGUCCAGACUCCUACGGGAGGCAGCAGUGGGGAAUAUUGGACAAUGGGCGAAAGCCUGAUCCAGCCAUGCCGCGUGUGUGAAGAAGGUCUUCGGAUUGUAAAGCACUUUAAGUUGGGAGGAAGGGCAUUAACCUAAUACGUUAGUGUUUUGACGUUACCGACAGAAUAAGCACCGGCUAACUCUGUGCCAGCAGCCGCGGUAAUACAGAGGGUGCAAGCGUUAAUCGGAAUUACUGGGCGUAAAGCGCGCGUAGGUGGUUCGUUAAGUUGGAUGUGAAAGCCCCGGGCUCAACCUGGGAACUGCAUUCAAAACUGACGAGCUAGAGUAUGGUAGAGGGUGGUGGAAUUUCCUGUGUAGCGGUGAAAUGCGUAGAUAUAGGAAGGAACACCAGUGGCGAAGGCGACCACCUGGACUGAUACUGACACUGAGGUGCGAAAGCGUGGGGAGCAAACAGGAUUAGAUACCCUGGUAGUCACGCCGUAAACGAUCUCACUAGCCGUUGGGAGCCUUAGCUCUUAAUGGCGCAGCUA
This 806-nucleotide ribosomal RNA is filed under the name uncultured bacterium. RNAcentral describes it as "bacterial SSU rRNA". It matches the Rfam family "Bacterial small subunit ribosomal RNA", at positions 52 to 854 of the family's 1533-position model. The record is from RNAcentral.